RNAcentral lists this long non-coding RNA (1341 nucleotides) under Homo sapiens (human). RNAcentral's name for it is "HSALNT0076243". The record is from RNAcentral. Lineage: Eukaryota; Metazoa; Chordata; Mammalia; Primates; Hominidae.
ACUUGUUUAAAAAGAUAGCAAGCAACAAAUUAGUAAGAAUGCCCCAUCAUAUAAUUCAUAAACUUUUACCUCUCACGUGCAAAUGUAUGUUUCAAAAGUUAUUGUAUGUCCUCAAAUAUACAACUUGAAAUUUUUGGUGAGUAGCAAACAUUCUCUGCGUCUUAGCUCAAAGACAUAAAAGAUUUUACAAAUUAUGCCUAUGUUCAGAACAACAUAAAUUCUGUCUUACAUGUUCAUGAACUGACAAUGCAAAAUAAGCCUUUUCUCCACCAUGUCCAAUGUUUUAAUUGGUCACUUGUCUUUCAUCAACACUAAAGUUUUUAGUGCUUCAUUUUGCUGAUUAUCAGGAUAAUUGGGCAGCUUUUAACAUACAAAGCGACAGGGUGGAAUUAUUUAAAGUAUUUUUAAAAUGCAUUUAACAUGAACAUCUAUGAAGUUUAAUCUCUUUUGCACUAACUUUUUAAAUCCACAGAGAAGUAUUUUUUUUUUUAAGAAACUUAACUUCCUUGAAAGGCAAGGAAGGAGGCUCAUGGCCCAAUUCUUUCUACCAGUGAGAAAGUUCUUUAAAGACCAAAUGUUUUAUUUUUAGAAUUUGUGCCAAUUUUUCUUUCUACUCCUGUACACAUAUGUGGCUACCAGCUUUCACUUUUGUGCCAGACACAUUCCUAAUUUGAAAAACAUAGUUGUACAGCAAUGAAUGAAAUGCCAGCAAAUUAUGUCUGCAUAAGUCUUUACAUGAGUUUUUAUAGAGCAUCACUUUAAUAAUUUUCAGUUUGUUCAGCAAAGACAAAACUAAUGAUCUCAUGUAAGAAAGGAGGAAAUUUACAUGGGAAUUUUGGCAACAUGAUCUAUGUUAGUAUUCUAUGGCUGUGUAACAAAUUACAACAUACUUAGGGACUUAAAAAAACUCAAAUUUAUUACCUCAGCAUUUGAGUCAGGAGUACUGGAAUAAGUUAAUGAGGUCCUCUGCUCAGGGUCUCACAAGGCUGAAAUCAAUUAACAAGGCUGCAGUCUCAUCUGAGGCUCAAGCGCCUCUCACAGGUUCACUGGUUGUUUGGACAGAGUUCAACUUCUUGUGGUUGUAGGACUGAGGUCCCAGAGACUGCCUGCUGUUCCCUGUCAUAGAAUGCUCUCACAACACAGAAAUUUGCUUCUUCGUGGUGAAGGAGAGAAUGUCUCUGGUGCUUUGAAAACUAUUUUAAAGGGCUUGCUGGAUUGGGUAAGACCCACCCAGGAUUUCCUUUUUAAUUAACUUGAAGUCAACUUAUUAUGGACAUUAAUUACACCUUAAAAAUCCAUUCACUUUUGCCUUAUAAACUAAUCACAGGAAUGAUAUUCUAU